CGUAUUUUGUAGUAACACCCUUUCAAAAUGACUUCCAAAACAGACACAACUUGCAAAAUAUUUUAAUUUCAAGACUACAAAUCAUCUCCCGACAUGAUUGUCUAAAUUGCUGCCGAAUGCUUACAAUCAACACCGGUCCCAAUGGUAAUAGAUAACCGGCCCUCCUUUGAAAAUAGCCGUUGAGCAUGCAAAGGGGACUAACUACAGUAGGCGCUCCGCGGCUUCUGCUCAAAUCAUUGGCGGCGAGGAUCAGAGGGACAGCUCGCAGUGAAUCCCAAAUCCGUAAUGGCAUCUCCAACCUCGAGCCCUUGCGAUGGCUCCUGAAAAGCCGGUUCGACCGAAAUGUGGUUGUAAACUUCGAGAUACAGGAGCUGCUGUUCGAUUCAGCCACCUCGGGAGUUGGCGCUGAUGUGCGGCGUAUAAGUUGUUCCACAUUUUCUUUGUUGACUGUCCUGUUGACUGUUGUGCCCUCUCACUCUUGAAUUCAAUUUACGCGUACAAAGGCUGGAUGCGUGUGAACGUGGGCGGGAGCCAGGUGGUGUCCUACCUCCAGCGUCUUUUCCAGCUGAAGUACACUGGUCACCUGGCGGCCGUCACCCUCUGCCUCAUAGAGCUGCUCCACAAACACAGCUACAGACUACCACCACGGUCUGCCUGCCAUGGGGCCAGAGAGAUGUAUUGAGAUUAGCUGGAGAAGUGGUGCAGUGCAGAGUUCUAAGAGCAGGAGGUGCAACGCAUGCAGCUGCCCUUCUCUGCCAUGGUUCUGGGCGGCGCGGUGAUUGUGGAGGAGAUGCAGGAGAGACGCGCCCAGCAACUGCGCAGGCUGCAGGAGAUAAACGGCUGGCGCAGGGAAGAGAUGCUGCAGCAGGACCAAGAGCGUCUGGAUAAACUAUUGGCCCCGCAGGGAAGAACCAUUAUCUUUUAACCACUUUGUCAACCAUGACCCUUAACUGCUGUGCAAUUCCACAGUCUCAGAAUUACGCAGAGUCCAAUUUCUCACUUAAAAUGUACUCCAAACAAAAAACAUUGAUUUCAAAGUUUAAUAAACCAUACAACCUUAUGCACAAGGACUAUGUUUAACAAUUUACACUGAACAUUUUACAAAAACACAUUUACUGGAAAAACUAUGCAGAUGCAAUGUUUGUUAACAGAAUUUCAUUAAAAUCUCCCUCCGUUUUUUAAUGUG
This is a non-coding RNA of Salmo salar (Atlantic salmon), 1186 nucleotides long. The record is from RefSeq and is a predicted model, not a curated record. NCBI's taxonomy places the organism in Eukaryota, Metazoa, Chordata, Actinopteri, Salmoniformes, Salmonidae.